Long non-coding RNA from Oenanthe melanoleuca, 1252 nucleotides. RefSeq lists it as uncharacterized. Lineage: Eukaryota; Metazoa; Chordata; Aves; Passeriformes; Muscicapidae. The record is from RefSeq and is a predicted model, not a curated record. The transcript has 3 exons.
ACUCAAUUCAGCAGUGCUUGCCAUGAUUCAGAAAAGCUACAGGCACCUCAUCCUACCCUCUCUUCACCACAAGAAGCAUCAGCUCUACCCUCAAAAACUGAUCUCCAGCAAGGAAAGCUGCAUGCUAUGAUUUGUGAAGAGCUUGGCUUGUCAGUGAUAAACAAAUGGAUCCUCUCUAAAGGUAAUAUCAGAGACCUACUGCUUCAAUAAUGACAUUAUGCAGCAAGCACAGAAACAGCAGACACAGAAAAGGACACAAAUGUUAUAUUUUUAAGUAAAAUUUUUUUUACCACUAGAUGUCCCUGUUAGAAAACUAUAAUUCUACACAAAGCUGUGUGGGAAAAUCACCUGAAUUACUGUCAAAGCUGCCGGGACAGGCUUGUGAAACCUUCAAAAGUUGAAGUGCCUAAGUCACAGAAACAGUGAGUAUUGGAAGCAACCAUGGAAGACAAAGGUAAGGGUUUACCCUGUUCUUUCUGAGUACUGCUACCAGCUAAGGCACUGCACUGAGAUAUGUUAAAUGCUGUAUUAAGUAUCCUGCUGUAUUUCAGACAUGGAUUUACUGGGAGACCAAAUGGCAGGGAGGUGCAGUCCUCUCUUUAAAGCAGCCAGCAUAAGGCAGAUACUAGAAUUAAACAUGGUCACAAACACACCACUCCCUUUCCUACACCUGCCCUGAACAUCUCACCAGCUCAUUUUGACCACAAUUAGUUUGAACAAAGAUCACUGGGAAGGGAUGGAAACAAGUAUCAGAACUGAACCAACCUCACCUUCAAGUUUCUGGAUUCCCCACACAUCAACUAAUUUUAAGCUUGAAUUUUCUAAGAAGGAGCAUGGCACACCCCUAGUUUAAAGUUGGAGUGCAGACUUCUGUGCUGCUUUUCCCAACACAUUUGUUUUGUCACUACAUUAUUCAUGUUUGUUUCAGUUGUUCAGAUGGCUGCAGCUGAAACUCACCUGUCCCUACAAGCAGCCCAUGAACAAGGACAUCAGAGAGCAAUUAGCUCACUUUUGAAAGCUGCAACAUUUCCACAGUUUCAGUGAAUGGAAACGCAGCUCUCACUUGUCUGCUCCUGCCAGCUUUGAGACCCACCUGCUCCACUCCAGCCAGCCUUUGCUCCUCUUCUGUAAGACCACCCUGUGUCCCCUCCACUCCACUGUCACUGCUCAAGUGACCAAAUCAUCACCCUUUCAGGACACUAGAAGUGUCCCUGCUUUAACUCAUGCCCUGCUGCAGCCGGUUUUUGCUGAG